RNAcentral lists this long non-coding RNA (747 nucleotides) under Homo sapiens (human). RNAcentral describes it as "non-protein coding LINC02272:8". The record is from RNAcentral. Lineage: Eukaryota; Metazoa; Chordata; Mammalia; Primates; Hominidae.
CAUGUCUUUAAGCUGAGGAGCGAGUGGAUCAGAGAGCAGCUGACCUCACAGAGCCAUGGUUCAGUGACUCAUUCAGACAUGUCCUUGAGUAGUUGUUCUGGAUUUCCUCGAUGGUAGCAAGGUGAACUCAUGAGGUGCUGGUCCAGAAAAGAACACGAGUGACUAUGCCCAUUGUCACUGCUCAGAAGUGUUCUGGAAUCUUGUUUCCCGCCCUGAAAUAAGUUGAUGGCAGUUAUGGCAUGGGCUGAUCUACCCAGUCAGCAAGGCCAGAUUGCAGAGAAACUCAGAGUCUAGGAAAAUGAAUGUCUAGGAACAUUCCUCAAAUAGUCCUACCAGAAGACACAAAGAUGAUGCAUCCGGAUGAAGAAUAUAUCACUGAGAUUAAUGGCCCUGGGUUGCAGCCAAAAGCAUCUCAGAGGGUAUGAUGCAUUUCCUGACUGUGGUCGGCUUUCCAUGGGUGAAACAGAAAAGUCUUCAAAUAUCCUCACCAACUGCUUUCCUAGAUUUUUCAGCCAGUUACUUGACCAUAUUAGGAAAAGAAAGGUGAGCUUGGGCUUCAGGACAUAGAAAACAACAUUAGUUAUGCUGGAAAGUAUCACCAAAGAAGUGCAGCUCAGACAAGCUGUAUUCUAUUUUGUUCUUUUGAACAUAAACACCUAUAAAGGGACCAAAAGAAAUCUAAAUGAUCAACGGGAGCAAUCCUGAAUAGGCAACAACAAUCAUUAUUGCCAAGUGAUUGUCUUAUCA